AUUAUUUUAAGGUCCUAAUAACAUUACUAUAUUAAAACAUAAGCUAAACUAAAGAUAGGUUAGGCGUAGCUCACUUACAGCAGGUUUUUCUCAAAAACGGGCUUCGCUGGAGCAGCGUUUCCUAGCCGAAAGGCUCUUUUCUCANGCCGAAAGUCUCUUUUCUUAGGACUCCAGGAGCCUUGGGGCUUCCUUCGGGUGCUAGGGGGUUUACCUAGGCAUUUAGGGGGGUUAGGGAGCUUAGAGAGAGAGUAUAGAGAGAGAAAGAAGAGGGUUGAGGGGUGAGGAAAUUAGGGAACCCGGCACCUCUAUUUAUAGGGGUGCUGACUGACCUACUCGUCGAGUAGGAGGACCUACUUGCCGAGUUGGUGCAUGUGGCAACCUUCUGGUGGUGCCACGUGUCCAAUUCUGGUGGUGCCACGUCACCCCCUAUCGCGUAUCAGCCUUCAAACUUAGAAAAAUCAUAACUCUCGCAUACGAGCUCUGUUUUAGACGUUAUUUUUUUAACGCGUAGGUAAAAUCAAGAUCUACAACUUUCAUUUAGACUCCGUCGGCCAAUUCUCGACCGAUCUCAAAUUUAACAGUAGGAGACGUUUAGACUGUUAAAUGACCGCGAAGAAUUCGUAACUCCUUCAUACGGACUCCGUUUGUGUCUAUAUUUUUACAGUUGAGUUCCUAUUAAUGAGAUCUUCAACGCUCAUUUAGGUCGCGUAAGCCAAAAACCGCUCGAACUAAAAUUCGAGUUUCGGGUCGUGCACUACUAAGUCGAAUCUUAGAAAAAUCAUAACUUCCUCAUACGAAGUCAGAUUUGGGCGUUCUUUUUUUUUUUGUAUGUUCUCGGUUUAACAUAUACUACAAAUUUUGUUUAGAUUGAUAAGGCUAAGAGUCGUGCCAUCUUAAAUUUACUAUUUACGCUUCCCGGUGUCGUGCCGGUUUUGCCGUAAAACUUCGACGAGCCAUAACUUCUUCGUUAUAACUCGGAUUUCGGCGUUCUUUAUAUGUACGGAAACCUUGAGAAAUAUCUACAACUUGGUUAAGACUAUUUAUUAUAAAUAAUCUUUUUCCGAAAAGUCAUUUUCGACACUUAUUGCCUCUAAAUUGACUAGCCCGGAUCUACGGGCGUUACAGUUAUAUCCCCCUUAGGAUGAUUACGUCCCGAAAUCAUCAAAGAAACAAGAUUGUAUAAUGACUCCAUACGUUAUCUAUUCAUCCUAUGUAAUAACUGUAACUUCUAUGUUGCUUCGAACGAGUAUGUAACUCUUGGACUCCUUGACUGCAGGCGGUGCUCGGUCUUGCACCUGCUCUUUAGACUUUCAAUCAUGACCUUCAUGUCACAACCUUAUUCUUUAUCAAAGACUCCUUCUUAUUCUUAACAAACUUAGAAUAAGUUAAUUUGAUUACUAACAAUUGACCAAUGUGUCAUAUUCUAAUGACCUAUCAUCGUAUGUAGCAACGCUUAGACUCAGAUCUCUUCGAGUCAAAUUCCGGAAUGGAUUAUGCCUUCCUUCAUGGUCUAAUGUGAUAUAAUAACAUUUUAACAUGUAUCUUUUCUAGCUACCAACUUCUUUAACAACGAGUGUGAUACUUCUAUUGACCGCUUUGAUUUUAAUCAUUUGGUUUCAGUCGGACGCUACAUCAAACUUGGUUCUCUGAACCACGUAACCUACUCAUCGUAGUCGGACUCAAUGUGACAUGACCACCACUAGGGUCGGAAUAACAAUCGUCUUCUUAGUCAUUUACCAAAACGAUGGUAACGACAUUCUUGAANAAUUACUAGCUUCUUGGUAACCUUGUGACUUUCCCUGAUCCAAGUGUGAGUCCUGUGCUUCCGGUAGUAUAGGCCUCUACUACCAUUCACACCUACUCAUACUCGUUCCAAGUAUUGUCUCGCAGUUCUCCAAGUUAUUAUCACAAAAACAAUUUUAACACAUACAAAUGUGUCCAAACAAUCAUAUAAUUUUGUCUAGAAUCUACUAGGACUUCUUCCACGCGUAUCUUCAAUCAUCAAUUCUGCUUCAACUCGGUUUAUGGUGGAAAUGUUGUUGGAUUAGUGUCUAAGUCCAUAACAAUUUUUGUAUGUACUUGACCCGAUGGUGCAUGGUCCUUUUGGGUUGCCUUCACCAAAGCAACUUGAUAGGAUGAAUUAUGGAGAAAGAGAGAGAGAGAGGAUUAAUUAUGAUUUAUUAAGAUAUUAUGAGAAUAAUAUAUUAAAGGAGAAAUCAUAUUGUUUAAGUAAUAUUAGUCAAUAAUUAAUUAAGACUUAAUUUUGUGGCUAAAAGACAUUAAUUAAACUUAAGGGACUAGAACUUUCAAUUGUAUGAUAGUUGAAUAUUGGGUUAAUGGACUCCAUAUUAGAGGGGUGGACGAAUUCUAUGGGGAAACCCAUUAGAAAUCGUCAUAGGCCUCUAAGGAGGGAGUCCAUGGGUUGCUUAGGGCCUAAGCAUCCAAAUUAGGGUUUCCUUGUUAGAUAACCCUAAUAGCCUCACUAUUUAAAGGACCCUUGAGACUCAAAAACGUGGUGAACUUAUUCCUUAGGGUUUCCACACGUUUUGGGCAGCCUCCUCUCUCCUUAUUCUUCAUCCUCUUGCUCUUGGUGUUUGUGAACCAUUAGAGGAGUGACAUUUGUGACUCUAAGCUUUCUAAAGUCAUUACAAGGAGGAUUUGAGAUUGUUAUUGCUACAUAACAAUCAAGGUAAGAUCUAAAACCCUUUCACAUGUUAAUAUGAUUAAUUGUAUGCUAGAACUAGGGUUUAAAGUCUUGGAUGAAUUGCAUGUACAAUAGAGAAACCUAGAUCCAAGCAUUAGGGUUUGUAUGAGCACAUAGGAUGUUCUUAUGGCCAAAACCCAUCAGUGGUAUCAGAGCCUAGAUUGGUUUCUAUUGUAUUGAUGCUUUGUAUGUUGAAAAAAUUCGUUUUUUGUGGUUCUGCUUGCUGAACUCGCCGAGUCUCUAGAUGAACUCGCCGAGUCCAUGCUGACUCGACGAGUCCAUGCCUGACUCGACGAGUCGGCUGGUCAGAAUGAGGGAAAACCGGGAUUUCUUGCUGUUUUUGCUUGAGGAUACUUGCCUUAUCAUAUUAGAUCAAUAUAAAUCCGAUUUUUUGAUAUAUAUGACUAUAUUCUUGAUCUAAUUGAAGAUAUUUAUCAAUUAAUAAAAUAUUUGUUUCCUUAUGUGAUAAUUGAUUAAUUAUUUUGAUUAAAUUGGUAAAUUGUUUUGCAAGAAAUCAUUAAAUAAAUCAAAUAUGGAUAAUUAUGUGAUUAAAUGUUAAUUUAGAUUAUUUGUUAUUUGAUCCUUGUGUUAUGAAAAGUUUCAUAUUUUCCCCUUUAGGUUUUAUAGUUUAAAUUUGAACUCAAAAGUUUUGUUGUUUUGAAAUUUAAAUAGUUGAAACCCUAAUGUUUUGAAAAGUUUUCAAAACUUGCCCUCAAGUUUUGGAAUUUAAAUUUUGAUUAAAAGUUUAAUUUUGAUGUAUAUUUAAAUUCUAAACCCUAAUGUUUUGAAAUGUUUCAAAACUUGCCCUCAAGUUUUGGAAUUUAAAAGUUGAUUAAAAGUUUAAUUAGGAAUGUUAAAUUCUAAAACCCUAGUAUUGUUUUGAAAAAGUUCAAAUCACACCCUUAUGGUUUUAUUAAUUAAUUAAGGUGUAUAAUUAAAAGAGGUUUAAUAAAUCCAUAAAAGUUUUGGUUUACAAUUUAAUUGAAUUAAAAGUAUAAUUGUUAAAUUUGACCACCUAGUAUUUUAAAAGUGUAAAAUACACCCUAUACUAUAUAUAACAUUAAAAGUCUAACAUUAUAUAUAUGUAUGAGUAAAAGUCAGUCUUACCGUUAGUAGGCCUCAUUCACGAAGCUGGUCUAUAAGGGGUGUUUAAGGAAAUUGCCUAUAAAAUGGCGAUUGAAUGGGUAUCCACUCUUACCCACCGCACUCUUGACUAGUGGAGGGUCGUUAGCCGAACGGGUAGGAUAGGACGAAACCUUCCAUUAUAAGUAUAAUGAAUUAUUAAAGUAACUAAAUGUUUUCAUAAAAUUCCCAAUCUUAGUUACUUAGGCAAAAGUGAAUUGAUGCAAUUCCAUGAAAUUACACUUUGUGCCCUUGCGAAGACGUUAGUGGAGCGUGUGUGGUUUACCGGCACACUAAAUGGUUCUAAGCAAAGGUAGCAAAGGGUGACUCAAUGUUUGUCAUAGUUCGGUGGAGCGUGUGUGGUUUACCGGCACAUCGAAUAGGUGACUGUAACAUGUGAGGGCACCAUGUAAGUUUGCAUGGUUAUUCACACCCGCUUUGUGAUCCUCGGCAUCCCAGUCACAAACAAGAGGGGCAUAUCGAGAUUUAAACAUGCCAUUGAAAGUUCAAUGAAUCUCAAAGGAUCUAGGAGUUUUCAUAGAUUUAAAACUUAAAUUUCUUUUUCGUUUUUCAUGGUGGAAAUUAGUGAAUCGUCAUUCACUUACCUUCAAAUAUUCUGCAAUUAGGGUUACGGCAUCCCUCUCCCGAGUUGUAGAAUAUUGUGUUGGGUCCUAGCCUUAGUAUCUCAUUUGGGUGAUUUACUAAGGACUCAAUCAAUCAACUAACUUGAAUUCGUUUUCUCCCGUUUUGUAGAUGUCAAAGUUCGACAACUAUGGUCUUCCCAAAUCCCGUGGAACAAGCAUUCCACAUGAAGAUGAUAUUCCACGAUUCGAUCGAGGAACAAGAAAUCAUGCUUCACUUCCUCCUCCUCCUCCAAUUAUUCUCCCUAACCCACAAGUUCAAAGGCUUGAAAAGUUCAAGAUCACUCAAGCCCUUUUGGCAAGUAAACAUAAAGAAGGAAAGUCGGUGUGUGCACACGUCCUAGGGAUGAAGUCACACAUUGAUAGGUUAAGAAUGUUGGGAUCCGUUGUCUGUGAGGAAAUGGCUGUUGAUUGGGUUCUUCAGUCACUUCCUAACUCAUAUAGUGAGUUCGUAAGAGAGUACUAUAUGAUGAACCGCGACGUGACCCUUAUAGAUCUCACCUAUAUGCUUAUUGCUGCUGAAUCAGCAAUGGUUUGGCGCAAUAGAAAAGCAAAGUUGAUUGGUGAAUCUGCCUUCAAGACCUCUAUGGAUAUAGACAAUGGCAACGAAAGACAUGCUAUGAUCGAAAAGUUUGAUCAUAAGAGAAAGGCAAUGUCUGAAGUAGUUCCAUGUCAUGUUCCAAAAGAGUCAAUUUGCUUUUAUUGCCAAGAGAAAGGGCAUUGGAGACGAAGCUGCCCCAUUUACCUAAGAGAUCUAAGAGAUGGGAGAGUCGAAACGUAUGGCUCUAAUAUAGGUAAAAUCCAUUAACUAACUCUUUUAAGCUUCUAUUCUAGAUUCUUAAUACAUAAUGUGAUAAGAUUACAAUUGAUGUUUUGUAGGAUCGAAGAAAAGAAAGGAAGCUUAAGGGAAGAAGUGAGCAGAAUCUAACCGUGAAGGAAUGGAUUUCGAUCGCAUUUCUCGAAGAUUAGAUUCUUGAGCUACUACUUAGAGUUAGAAUUAGAUUGCUAAGAAAGAUGUAUUAGCAUAGUUUUUCAAUGAAUUGCAUUGUAAGGACAAAUUUUUCCCCAAUAAAAUAAAUUUUGAUUUUAUAUUAUUUAUUUAUCCUUGCAAUGGCGUAUAUGAAAAAUUGAUGUUUGAAUGUUUCUAUUAUUAGCAAUAAUGGAUUUGGUUCUUAUUAUGUUAUUUAUGGAAAGUCGAGAAUUUACCAAAUAGGGAGAGUUUCUCAUCGCCCAAGUUUCAAUUGGACAGAAACUUGGAAUCAUGCAACUUGGUUGCACGAUGAAUGAGAAAUUUCAUAUUUGGAAAUUAGACUAAUUCAUUGACAAAGUGUCAAGUGAAGGACUAGGAGAUCGAGUACACAAAGUUGCGUGUUGAUCAAGUCCACCAUAAGAGUAACAAAGAUAUUCGUCAUGAUUUACUAAAGGUUUAGUAAAUAUGAUUAUACUUACAAGAUUAAGUGUAAUUCUGAAUUGAUUGAAAAAGUUUAAAUCAAUAGCAGAACGAAUAAGAAGAAUCAAGUAGGCAGAAAGAUAAAAGUUUCUCCAUUCUAAGAAGAAGGGAGAGUACCUUUUAUGCUUUAUGAUAGGUCUUAAUGAUUAAGAACCAUAUCUCAAUUGAUCCUCUAAGUGAGUCUUAGUACAAUUGUAUGUCUAAGAAGAGGAAUCAAGAAUUGAAGAAAUGGUUAAAUCAAGAAGUCAAUCAUACUUCGUUCCAAAACAAGUCUUAGAGUUAAGAUUGUGACAUUGAGUGACAAGUCUUAAGAAGGUUUAUAACAUUCAUCAAAUGUGGAAUUUGAAAAGGUUUUCUUAUUCUUGCACAUUUGAAAUUGGAAAGUUGUGAUGUCUUGGAUAAGACAAAGACCAACUAGGACCAAUUUAUGAAGUGUUUCGUCUUGAUAAAAGCUACACUAACUCUUGAAUAUUUGUUUGUCAAGAAAUGUUUAUUGACAAGAGAAUCUUAUAUGUCAAGGAGUCAGUGGGAGUCUUAAUGGUCUUGAAAGGUUUCAAGAACAAAUCAAAAUAAACCUUAUCGAUCAUCACUAGCACACGACUUGAGGUUUACAACCUAUCGUGUUGACACUAUCUUGUUUCUAUGCGGUUCCAAUUGAGCUAAUUAUGCAUGUGAGUCCUAUGAGUUCUCAUUUGAAUGCAUAAAAGGCAAGGACCUUGAUCAAUGAAAAGUAUAUUGAUAGGAAAGGGUGAGCUGCUUAACUACUUGGAAGACAUGGUGGACACUCGUGUUACCAUAAGGCAAGAAAUCAAGAUUGAGNAAGGUUCGGUCCAUAUGAAUUUGGAUUUGUCGCAACUUUGGUUUAACGAAUUUGCAUGGAUAUGAACACAUACACCAUUAAAAUCUAAGUGUCAUAAGAUUGCCUCCUUCAUGAAUAUGACUGUGAGGAAAUGCUUUCACUAAGAGAGAUUUUAAGAAGAUAGUGAUUGUGAAAUUGUAUUCUUGAAUUUGAUUAUGGUUACGGUAUCCCUUUUCAUAAUUAGAAAUGUGAGAUUUGACAAAUAGUUUGAAUUGUUUAAGACACACAUAUGAGCUAUCUAAGGCAAAGGUGUAUAAGUUUGAGAAACUCAGAUAAAGGAUUAUCAUGUCAGAGCUAGUGGGAGCAUAAGAGUUAUGCUUAAGUGAUAAUAAUCAUCAUAGUGGGAUAAAUGUUGUGCGUGUAUGAUUAUUAUGGCAAGUAUUGCAAGUUAGCAAUAUUAAUUAUAGAAAACAAGAGUUAUACUUUGCAAAGUCGUAAGGGUUGAAAAGUUGUUUUGCUAUAAUUAAGGGAGAGAAUAUUAUGCUUCAUUUCAAAUCUAAAGGCUUAGGUUGUGGAAUGUUAAUAAAUUUAGUCAAGGAUACAUAGUGUGUUCUCAAAUUUCGAUUAUGAUUAUGGCAUAGUUCGAAUUGUGAGAACGUGGCACAUAAAAUAUUAUGACAGAAGAUUGAUAAAGUAUCAGAUCUUUAUGUAAGACAUUAUGCAUCGUGUCCCAUACGCUUCGGGUAUAGGAUUGAUUGCAAAUGCUAUAAUAUUUAACCAUUCUAAAAUUUUCCAAAUGUCUAGCGCAUUUAGAGGGAAAAAGGACAAGAAUCGGUUUUGACUAAGAUAAUUAAACAACUAUCAAAGGACGAUCCAAAGCUCGCUGAGGAUUGGUCGCUUGUGAGUAGUUGGAAGUAUAAUAUUGGAUGGACCAUAUCGACAUUAUUAUGAAUAGAUAAGAUUCUAUUAAGAAUGAGUUGUCAUAUGGAAAAUAUGGAAACGUGUCCAUAUUGGGAAUUGAAUAUUGAAAAUCUAUGUCUAGAUUAGAAACUUUUAUGCAAAAGGAUGUUCAAAGGAAUGUACUUUGAGUGAGAGACAUCAUAUCUAAGGAAUUGUCUUGUAACAAUCUCCGAUAGAGGACUUUGUAAUUUCAUUGGCAAUAGUCAUUGUGACUUUUGUGCUAUGACAUUACGAAAGGAUCAUUGCAUAAAAUGUUAGAAUCUAGCAUAUUCUAUAAGUGGCAAGAAUUUGAUAUUCUUUCACUUGUGAAAAGGAUUGGGAGUUGUGAAAUGAGUAUGAUUGGAAAUGUGUUCAUUUGAUCUAUUUCACAAAGUAAGAACCAUAGGUAAACAUUGUGUGCAUGCUAAGAGCAUGGGACAAAUGUAGUAAUAAUUCAAUUAAGAAGUUGAUUACCCGAAACAACAAAUAAUGAGUAAUCGAUAUGGUGAUAAAUAAAAGGUGUUUUAUUUAUACUCAAAGGUUUGAGGCCAUAUGGGAUUAGUAUUAUUCUUGUGUUUCACUUUGCAUGUUUUGACUUCCUGAAUAAUUUAAUUGGUUUAGAACAGUCAAAUUAUUCGAACGGGCCACAGUCGUUCAUAUGUUGGAAGUAGAUAUGAAUGAAGACUGUCGUGAAUUGGUGUGUGGAUUGUCUAAAGAGUAUUAGACAUAAGCAAAUGUUUGCUGCAACGUUCAUGAGUGCUUAUGAAUAUGAUUUGAGCAUUGGAUUAAACCCACGCUCACUUGGAUCACUCCAUGAAUUGUAUCACGAGUGAUUGGUGAGACGAUAACAUCUUAUAUUCUUGAAACCGAGAUGUGUGAGUUGUAUCUUGCGAGUCGGUUGCACAUUGAUAAUAUGUAAACGCACCAGUAACUUGGUGUUAUAAAACAUAUUGUUGUGUGUGAUUCGGUAAGUGAGUGCAAGCGAGCAUUGAGAAAAAUUUAAUCCAUUCCUUUUAUCCAAAGUAGGAUCAAAGCGAUAUCUUUGGGCCCCUCGAUGAUUUAGUGAUGGCACCUAAGCGCUUGGCCAAGUCGGGACUAAUUUGAUGUGUUCAAUUGUCGUCUGUUUUUAGUCGUCAUAAAUCAGAAGUCGAGAAAUAGUAUAGAGAGAAUGAUUAAGUUCAUGUCUCAUAUCUAUACGAUAUCUAGAAUGGAGGAAUAUAUGAUCCCUUAUCUAAAGGACACGCGUAUCUGAUAAGAUCAGAGUUGACAGCGGCUUUGGAAAGCUACGAUUGCAGAUCAGGAUCUGAAGUCAUACGCAGAAUAGUUAUUAGACUUAUCCAAGUGGGAGACUGUUGGAUUAGUGUCUAAGUCCAUAACUAUUUUGGUAUGUACUUGACCCGAUGGUGCAUGGUCCUUUUGGGUUGCCUUCACCAAAGCAACUUGAUAGGAUGAAUUAUGGAGAGAAAGGAUUAAUUAUGAUUUAUUAAUAUAUUAUGAGAAUAAUAUAUUAAAGGAGAAAUCAUAUUGUUUAAUUAAUAUUAGUCAAGAAUUAAUAAGAAUUAAGUUUGUGGCUGAAAGACAUUAAUUAAACUUAAGGGACUAGAACUGUCAGUUGUGUGAUAGUUGAAUAUUGGGCUAAUGGACUCCAUAUUAGAGGGGUCGACGAAUUCUAUAGGGAAACCCAUUAAAAAUCGUCCUAGGCCUCUAAGGAGCUGAUAGUUGAAUAUUGGGCUAAUGGACUCCAUAUUAGAGGGGUCGACGAAUUCUAUAGGGAAACCCAUUAAAAAUCGUCCUAGGCCUCUAAGGAGCGAGUCCAUAGGUUGCUUAGGGCCUAAGCAUCCAAAUUAGGGUUUCCUUGUUAGAUAACCCUAAUAGCCUCACUAUUUAAAGGACCCUUGAGACUCAAAAACGUGGUGAACUUGUUCUUUAGGGUUUCCACACGUUUUGGGUAGCCUCCUCUCUCCUUAUUCUUCAUCCUCUUGCUCUUGGUGUUUGUGAACCAUUAGAGGAGUGACAUUUGUGACUCUAAGUUAUCUAAAGUCAUUACAAGGAGGAUUUGAGAUUGUUAUUGCUACAUAACAAUCAAGGUAAGAUCUAAUACCCUUUCACAUGUUAAUAUGAUUAAUUGUAUGCUAUAACUAGGUUUUAAAGUCUUGGAUGAAUUGCAUGUACAAUAGAGAAACCUAGAUCCAAGCAUUAGGGUUUGCAUGAGCACAUAGGAUGUUCUUAUGGCAAAAACCCAUCAAAUGUCAGACGAUGGGAUAACUUCAUGGAUUCUACCAAAAGUCUUUCUUUCUUCUAGUCGAAAGUGAACUACUUCCGUACUAGACGUAUUAUUUAUUAGACGCAUUCUAAAGUCAAGAUAUCACUCUUAAAAUAUCUUCCGAUAAGUAUCAUUCACUAUCAUAAGCCUUCUCGUUUCCUCCAUUUGCUCAGUCUGCUAUGAGUCCUUAUCAUGACAUUCUAUACACGAAAGCAGGCGUUCGGUGUAUCGAGACAAGAAUAUAGAUAGAGGAAGAUUUAGACGCAUAUUCCUCCGUAUUACUCAAAAAAGUUACAUGCCAGUUCUAAUAUCGUAAUUAAACGUUUAGAAACCUGAGCACAUAAAAUUUCCAGAUCCGAUCGGCAACAGACCAUAGAUCCGAUUAUAAAUUUAGUAUCAUAAAGCAUCAUACAUAUUUUAGCACAUAAAAACAUGUUAGGCAUUUUCCCUAAAUAAGCUAGUGCUUGUGUUUAUUCAGGUGUAUUACCUAAGACACUCCUCACAAUCAUUGCUUAGCAUUCUAAGUUUAAGUCUAGAAAUAAAUCCAUAUUCCUAGUUCGCUUAAACUAAUGCUCUGACACCAACUGUAACAUCCCCAUUUUUCACGGCCAGAAAAAACCGAUUUUGUUUAUGCUUUGUAAAAAUCAGAGUACUUCUUUUCAUAAAAAUGUUGCGGAAUUUAUUCCCAGAAAAACACGAUAAAUACGUUAUCAAAACAUUUUCGAAGAAACGUAUUUUAUUCAUUUUAAAACGUUUGGGAUGUCAUCGUCAAUACAGAAACAUAAGCAUAAACGGAACUUACAUUUAUUUACACUACUGAUCUACAUCUCUUUAAUCUCUCAGUGUAAUGUGACUUCAUAUCAACACCUAUGAUAUAAAUAAACUGAGUGGGUCAGAUUGGGAAACCUAGUGAGUACAUAGGGUUUUCAACCCAUAAUAAUAUAAUUAUUAUGUUUAAUCAUCAAUCAGUUAAACCAAUUACCCAUCCCCAUUAUCUUCUUUGCUCUUAAGGAUCUAUCCUAAGAAUCAACUAUUCCUCAUUUAUUUAUUCCUAAGGAUCGUCCUAAGGAAUUAGCACGAAGUCCAUCGUUACCAAGGCUUAUAGAUUACAACUGGUGAACACGUAGUCCAAAACAUCUGGUAAACAAAAAGUAACUAGUGAACACACUUAGUUCAAAAUACCUAGUGAACACACUUAGUCCAAAAAUACCUAGUGAACACACUCAGUUCAAAAUACCUAGUGAACACACUUAGUCCAAAAAUACCUAGUGAACACACUCAGUUCAAAAUACCUAGUGAACACACUCAGUUCAAAAAUACCUAGUGAACACACUUAGUUCGAAAAUACCUAGUGAACACACUCAGUUCAAAAAUACCUAAUGAGCACCUAGUUCAAAAACACCUACAUGUUACGAGCCUGCUAGCAUUCCACUAAACUGUCUAGUAUCGUCCAUGGUCGUCAUCUAUACUCCACUAGAUGACUGGAUCACUAUCAACAUUGAUGUCUUCCAUCGUAUUAUCACACAACAACUAUUUCAUCUACCCAUGUUUUACCCAACACAUUUUGUAGAUAUAAAAUACAUAUACAGUUUAAAUCAUUUAAAACAUGUAUAAAAAUCUUUCACCCAGCAUAGGAAACAAGUAUCCAGACAAUAUGCACACAUAGCACGUAAUUUAUAUUAAAAUUCUUCAUAUCUAUGUGUAAGAUGAAAGGGACUAUGCAUUCACUUGGUAAGGUGGUGACUCGGUGCUUGGACAGCACUUCGUUACUCUUAACACACUUUUCCUUCGGCAAAACCUAGUAUCAUUGCCACUAGGGUUUAGUCUGAUAUUCACCGCGACUAAUUAUGUAGCACAUGGUUCUUGGUACGUGUUCUUUCUAUUAAAUCUUUAAAUAUUUUGCUUUUGGUCUUGGACUCAGCGAGUUGAAGGACCAACUCGCCGAGUAGAAGCGGGAUGAGGCGCGGAGUUUAAGUUGUGGACUCGGCUAGUCGAGUCUCGGACUCGGCGAGUAGACCUUGUUUGGGCAAAAGCCCUAAUCUGAGGGUUUGCACCCUAUUUAAACACCUUAACUCGGCCUCCUUAGUCUCAUUUGCUCCCAGAAGACCCCCAUAGCAAACCCUAGCCGUAAUUGAAGCAAUCCAAGGCAUUUGGAGUGAUUUUGGUGCUUUUGUGAUCCAAGGAAGGAAGGAAAAGCUUGAAGGAUCAAGAGGAGGCUAGAAGGAUUCGGUUUUGAGCACCAUUUGCAGACUUCAGAAGGUAUAAAGUCUAUACCUUGCUUGCUCUUUUGAUAGAUCCCAUUUUGUGGAGUUUUAGGGAUUUUCUAAGCCAUUUUGGUCACCAACCAUGAUUGCAAGCAUGGUUUGAGGUUGAUGUUUCGGAUCUAGGUCCUUAGAGGGGUUACAAGGCAGAAAGGAGUGGCUUUUGCACUCAAGGAAGGCCCCAUGCAUUGUGAGAGCUUGUUUUAGGACCUUUUGAGCUUAAAGUCCCAUGCAAGCACGUAAAGGUUGUAACUUUACGUGCUAGAUCGAUUGUAGAAGCAUAGAUCUACAUUUUGAUCAAGGGUUGUACAUCAGAAAUCGAAGAUUCAGUGAGUGGUUGUGCCCAACUCGGCGAGUCCGUUCUUGGACUCAGCGAGUCCAGGGUUUUGUCCCAUAUCAGCUGAGGGUCAUAAGGACCCAGUUGAGUGUGGAAAGGUUUUAAGGGGGUCCCAAGAGGUGACCCAACGUUCUGGACUAAGCCAUUGUUCUGGAAGUUCAUAGGACUCAGCGAGUGCAUGAGUGGACUCGGUGAGUCCAAGGCAAUCUUCUUAGAACUCGAUGAGUUGUUCAUCAACUCGACGAGUCGAGGACAAAACUUGUUCAUCAGAUGAAGGUGGAUUCGACGAGUUGUUCAUCAACUCGGCGAGUCGGAUGAGUUUCCAUGUGUCUUUCAUAUGAAAGAAGAACUCGUCGAGUUGGCGGCCCAACUCGACGAGUAGAAGAGGGUUUAAGGACAAUUGGAAGGAUAGGGACUCGGCGAGUCAGGUCAACUGGAAGNGGAAGUUGACUUCAUCUUUGACUUGACUUGGUAAGGGGUAAAAUGGUCAUUUUACCCCAAGAGUAGAUGUCAGUUUCUGACUAAGUGUUUUGUGGGAAUUUUAGCCGGAGGAUUUUCGGAGCAACAGCAGCAGUCAGAGGAUUCCCACACAAUUCAACAGCUACUACGAGAUGAGUUACCUUCCAGUAGCGGUGGGUCUACGGCCACAUUUCUAACCCACCAGUAGGGAUCGUAUGUUAGAUGUUUGUCUUUGUGAUAUUCAUCUGUGUUGCUACUACCUGAUAUGUUAUGUGCUAGCGUGAUACGCUAUGUGAUACUGAUAGAGUUCGGUUGUUAGGAUCGAAGGGUAGGUUAGGCACCCCAGAUAUGCCUAACAGUAUGUCAUGAUAUGUUUAGCUGCUAGCAUGAUAUGUUAUAUGAGAUAGAGGUAGUAGGAGGGGGAAAGUCCCCGAGAUUCGGUUGUUAGGACUGAAGGGUAGGUCAGACACCCCAGAUAUGUCUGACAAUAGAUUAUGAUAUGACAUAUGUGAUAGUAGUAGUAGGGGUGAAAUAGUCCCCGAGGUUCGGUUGUUAGGACCGAUGGGUAGUCAGCACCCCAGAAUAGCUUGACAUGGGUAGGUCAACGCCCCAGAAUGGCUUGACACGGGUAGGACGGCACCCCAGAAUGGCCGCAUGGGUAGGUUGGCACCCCAGAAUGGCCGUACGGGUAGGUCGACACCCCAGAAUGGCCGUACCGAGUAGGUCGGGCACCCCAGAAUGCCUGGCAGUAUGUAUGUGAUGUGAUUGUAUGGUACGUGGUACGAUGGGGGAACUCACUAAGCUUCGUGCUUACAGUUUUCAGUUUUGGUUUCAGGUACCUCUUCGGCGAAGGGGAAGGAGCCGGCGCGGUAAUGGCACAUCAUACACACACAUAUUGAUUUUCCGCAUUACGAGAUGUUCUGGGAUUGUACUCUGCCAUUAUUAUUAUUUUCAUGUUUUGGGAUUUUGGACACGAGAUAUGUUUUAUGAAAUGAUAUGAUCGGAUGAUGUUUUACUACAAAUGUUUUACAAACCACUUAAUUUAAAUGAAAUUUUUGGGNUAGUCUAAUAUUCACCGAGACUAAUUAAUAAUCUAGCUAUUAUUACUAUUAUAUAAGCGUUAAACGAUACUUAUAUAACUCAUAAUAAUACCCCAAAGUACUUAUUAUAAGGUCCUAAUAACAUUACUAUAUUGAAACAUAAGCUAAACUAAAGAUAGGUUAGGCGUAGCUCACUUACAGCAGAUUUUUCUCAAAACCGGGCUUCACUGGAGCAGCGUUUCCUAGCCGAAAGGCUCUUUUCUCGGGACUCCGGGAGCCUCGGGGCUUCCUUCGGGUGCUAGGGGGUUUACCUAGACUUUAGGGGGGCUUAGGGAGCUUAGAGAGAGAAAGAAGGUUUGAGAGGUGUGAAGAAAAGGCAAGACACGGCACCUCUAUUUAUAGGGUGAAUUCCUGAUGCACUCGCCGAGUAGGAGGACCUACUCACCGAGUUGGGGCAUAUGGCAGCCUUUAGGUGGUGCCACGUGUCCAAUUCUGGUGGUGCCACGU
RNAcentral lists this long non-coding RNA (14522 nucleotides) under Lactuca sativa (garden lettuce). RNAcentral's name for it is "long non-coding RNA (LSAT_LNC005944)". The record is from RNAcentral. Lineage: Eukaryota; Viridiplantae; Streptophyta; Magnoliopsida; Asterales; Asteraceae.